CCGCUGAACUUAAGCAUAUCAAUAAGC
RNAcentral lists this ribosomal RNA (27 nucleotides) under Phaeoacremonium venezuelense. Its description in RNAcentral is "partial 28S ribosomal RNA". The record is from RNAcentral. Lineage: Eukaryota; Fungi; Ascomycota; Sordariomycetes; Togniniales; Togniniaceae.